AUACGGAGGGUGCAAGCGUUAAUCGGAAUUACUGGGCGUAAAGCGUACGUAGGCGGUUCGUUAAGUUAGAUGUGUAAGCCCCGGGCUUAACCUGGGAACUGCAUUUAAAACUGGCGGACUAGAGUUGAGUAGAGGGGAGUGGAAUUUCAGGUGUAGCGGUGAAAUGCGUAGAGAUCUGAAGGAACACCAGUGGCGAAGGCGACUCCCUGGACUCGAACUGACGCUGAGGUACGAAAGCGUGGGUAGCAAACGGGAUUAGAAACCCUAGUAGUCC
This 274-nucleotide ribosomal RNA is filed under the name uncultured bacterium. Its description in RNAcentral is "partial 16S ribosomal RNA". It matches the Rfam family "Bacterial small subunit ribosomal RNA", at positions 523 to 796 of the family's 1533-position model. The record is from RNAcentral.